This is a non-coding RNA of Araneus ventricosus, 81 nucleotides long. The record is from the annotation of a GenBank genome assembly. NCBI's taxonomy places the organism in Eukaryota, Metazoa, Arthropoda, Arachnida, Araneae, Araneidae.
CGACAAGGAUGGGAUUCGAACCACGCAGGCAGAGCCCAAUGAUUAGCAGUCCAUCGCUUUAAACACUCCGGCCACCUCGUC